ACCCAGACAAAACGAAACAGAAAGUAGAACUGGCAAGUAAAUAGCUUGACACCAGUCCCUACCCGGGGUAGUGGAAUUCCCCUAGUUGACGUGUGUAAGGGUCAUAUCAACUGAAUUAUUACACUAUUGUGAAGCCAAGCAGCAACUAUCACUUACCUGUUUGCCAUCAGCGGCCUCUAGCGACAGCUUGUGGAGACGGAGCAGCUGUGGGCGUCAUUCACACGACCCCGGCUGACCUCAUUGAUUGACAAAUGCUUUCGGAGAAAAUCUUGAAACCGAAAGUAAAGUUUUGUGUUUGCUUCAUCUGCACAUUGUCUCUAUAAUGUCUGACCUUGCUGGUCACAUGCACUAGAAAGUUCAUAUGAUAAUUGUAACACCCAGGUCAAGAGUCACGCAUCAACGCACGAGACAGACGAGUUCAUCCGAAGAUUAAAAAAAAA
Pomacea canaliculata is the source of this 440-nucleotide long non-coding RNA. RefSeq lists it as uncharacterized. Lineage: Eukaryota; Metazoa; Mollusca; Gastropoda; Architaenioglossa; Ampullariidae. The transcript has 2 exons. The record is from RefSeq and is a predicted model, not a curated record.